ACUAACUCUACUUACAUCCUUAAAUAUUUUGGUACUUGGCUUUUGAAGGACAUUUUGGGCUUAUAUCAGUAGUCAAAAUCUAAUGUAUCAUUCUCCAGUGAUGCCUGAAAUGGUACCAUCGUAGGAUUUUCUUAGCCAAAACCAUGUCAUACAGAAUUAAUGUUUGUAUUGAAGAUGUUUCAUAAGCUUUAUAUCAUCAUUCCUCUAUAUUGGUAUUUCAGAGUGAUUGGUCAGCAAUCGAUGUCCCAUGUCCAGCUUAAAUGAAGCGGCCCUUUCCAUUUCCCUAUAAAAAUUUAUUUUUUUAAUCACCUAAUUUGCUGUUCAUGAGCUGUGUACAAGAUAGCAACAAUCAUUUGGCUAAAGCAAUCAUUAGUUACGGUGUAAAUAUUAUAUUUGGGCUGCUGCUGGAUUGAAACUCCAUAUGCACCUGCUCUGUUAUUGGAUUUAUUUUUAAAAUGGGUUUUAAAUUGCAUCUUGCAGGGUUUUGUGUAUGCUG
This is a long non-coding RNA of Carassius carassius (crucian carp), 496 nucleotides long. RefSeq lists it as uncharacterized. Lineage: Eukaryota; Metazoa; Chordata; Actinopteri; Cypriniformes; Cyprinidae. The record is from RefSeq and is a predicted model, not a curated record. The transcript has 2 exons.